GGGGGAAGCGCCGGAGCCGCCGAGGACCCCGCCGCCGCGGACCCCGCCAGCAAGAAGUGGUUUCCAGUGCUGGCAAGUUCUCUGCUGUGUGGACCAUAGUUUAGUGAACACCGAGCUGCAGACUGAGAGAUAUGUUAUGUAUCAAUUACUCUUCCAAGAAUGGUCUUCAACCUUGGGACACAGAGAAGAACCAUCUCUUUCAUUGCCUGUGCUACACAGAUGUGCUGCACUCUUGUUCUGGGGGCCGCAGAGUUCCUGAAGUUGCCAUCAGCCAGAAGUCAGGCCAAAGCCUUCUCUACUUGUUCAUCUCAUCUUGCAGUGGUGUUUGCCAGAGAGUGCUUGUUCAUGUUCAUUGAAUGAUGAAUCUACUUUGUGAUACUAUUCUUUUUGAAUAUAGGGGGAGCCAAGAAGGCGGCGCCGGGAGAGCACUGUGUCUGAGAAGCAGGACAGCACUCUCUGUGCAGCAGCGACCAGGAGAAUGAACUCUGGGCCCUAAAACUACAGCAAUCGUGUUUCCCAGGCAUUCUAUAUUUCUGAAGGCAAGCACCUACUCUUCAGAGAUUUCUAAUACCACCAUGAAGACAAAAUCUAUUCAAGUGAUGAUAAUGCUGCAACCUAGGACAUUUGGGUUGGUGGAAUGCUGGUGGAAUGAAUGCAGAAAUUGUGGUGCAUUUACACAAUGGAACAACGGAAUACUACUCAGAUCAAUGAAAUUAAGAAGAAGAAAUUUAAGGCGAAUAAAAUUUCCCCCCAAAUAAAAAUCACACACUCAAGAUGGUUGAUCUGAAUGGAAUUAAAAACACCUGUAACUUUCAAAGGCCAUGUGUGGUAGGCUCUUGUCCAGUUUCCUUUCUUCUCCUGCUUCCAAUGUCUAUCGUAUUUGUCCCUCUGAAUGAGGAUUGAGAAUCUUCCCUAGGGUCUUCCUUGUUGUUUAGCUUCUUUAGGAGAAUAGAUUUUAGUUUGUUUAUCCUACAUUAUAUGGCUAAUUUCCACUUAGGAGUGAGUAUAUACCAUGUGUGUUUUUCUGUUUCUGGGUUACCUCACUUAAGAUGAUCUUUUUCGUUGAGCUGUUACAUCGUAACUUUUACAAAUUCCUUGAAUUAUUUAUAAAGUUUAUGACUCUUCUUUAUAUAUUGCAUUCUGGGAUUCAUAAAGGUAACUCACAUUGGCUAUGGCACUGAAGGUCUUAGGAGAGAAGAAAGUAGCUUGACCUUUGUUAUCGCACAUAUUUCAAUAAUAUCUCGAUGUAUGGAAUUCUAAGUCUGAUACAGACAGAGAAGUUUGGAGUGUUACAAAGGGUAUGGAGGAAAGUAGAAUCCACAGUGUGGAAAUUCCUUGAGAAUAAUGAGGUUAAUUAGACAUAAAGGAUUCUGUUGGUGGAGUGGAUGUGUCCACUGGUCCAAGAUUAAAAUGUGGGGUGGGAUUUGCUGACUGGGAAGCUUAGAUGCAGCACAGGAGGGAUAUGUGGGUAAUGGCAGGUCCUAGAGAAUCCUAGAGACAGGUUUUGUCAUAGUCUGGGGUAGUUUACUAGACUAACGCUUAAAUUGUGAGAUCUGGUCUAAUGAUGGAAUAUUAGGAAGGAGGAGUAGACGGGGAGGAUCAUGGAACCUCACUGGGAUAUACCAUGGAGAAAGAUCUGGCUGGGCAGAGAAGUUGCAUGUGGUUUGAGCUCUCUUAUAGCUUUGGGUAUAUAGGUUUCAAGGCAACAUUUCCCUAAAACAUGUUUGUAAAAAUAAUGAUCCUUAAUAUAAAAUAUAAUAAUCUCUCUCUAUCACACACAUAUAUAUGUAUAUGUAUAUAUUUCUUCUUGCCCAAUGACAAAGGUAGAGCAACUUUCUUCUCAGUUCAUGUUUUUUUUUUUAAGAUGAAAGAUUUAUUUUUCUUCUAAAAAGAACAAACAACCCACCACCACCACCACCACCAACAACAAAAAUUUCAUGGGGGAGUGUGGAAGAAAAGAAAACUAAAAGUUUGGUGGGUAAAGAGUAGAGAGGCUGUAUAUAUGAGAAGAUAAUGAAGUGUGUUCAAUAUAUGUUCUAAAUAUAUUGUAUGAAGUUCUUAAGUCAUUAAAGAAAAUGUUGCCGAAAGGAAUUUUGAACAUCAAGAUUUACUUGUUGCAUGAUUGCUCGAUUGUCUCUGGUUCCAUCUAGUGUUCCAAAGUUGUAAAAACACUGGUUCUGAGGUUAAAGUGGUGAAUUUGGCUUUUGUCUUUUUUGUGUCCUCAGAUGUAAAAGCUUACCCACAUGUUUCUUCUCACACAGAGAUCUUCCUGACAUCAGUCGUGAUCUUCAUCUAUCUUCUAUCAAUAAUUGUCAUUGUUUUCUACUAUAAGGGCUUGGAUCUCAGUGCAUUUUAAUAAACCAUGUAGUUAUCAGAGAGUUAGAUUACAUUUAUACAAAGAGAAAUUUCAGCAAAAUUGAAUGAAUACCUUUAUCCCAUAGAGUAAUAUGUUUCUAAAUAUCUAAAUUUUUAAUUUAAAUUCAUGAAGUUGUAACAAGAAAAGCAUAUUCAGAAAAUAUGUUCUAAAGAGUAAAUUAUUUAGGAAAAAAAAGCAGAUAAUUCACAUCACAUUCUGGGAGGUAAUUACAGUGGUCUGAAUCAUCAUAGCAACUCUGUAUUAAUUAUCAGGUUUAGUUUACUUCAGUGUACAAUUGAUAAGCCUCAGCUUUAAAAGGGAAAAAUCAGUUAAAGUUUCAGAGGCAGUGACAGGAAGUCUUACCUCAUAGGUACGGAGGGCAACUAGCUGCUCAUCAAUUACUCUAACAUAGUCUAGAUUUGCUUAUAUCUGUCCAGAUUUGUUAAUAUCUGUAUGUUGAAGUCUUCACAUAAAAGUAAACAUUAUGCUUUCUGUAAAAAAAAAAAAAAAGAGUAAAUUAUUAUCUCCCUCUUCUUCCAUAAGGUUUCCAGUACUUUGCCCAGACUUUGGCUAUGAGUCUCAGUAUCACCUUCAACACCCUGAUGGGUAGAGUCUUUCAGAGACUCCCUGUGGAAGGUUCCUGUCCUGUUCCUGUCUUCUCUCACUUCUGAUGUCUAUCCUGUUUGCCCUUCUGAGUGACAUUUCAGCCUCUUCCCUAGGGUCCUCCUUGUUGUUUAGCUUCUUAUAAUUUAGGACAAUAGAUUUUAGUAUAGAAAGACCUGGAGGGGACAAAAGCUUCACCAAUAGACUAUCAGAGCCAAAAAACCUCCGGCCAGCAGGGUGGAGUUGCUGCAGGGACCUAUACUUCAACCAAGAACCAUGCAUGGAAAGACCUAGAACCCCAGCUCAGAGGAAGCCAACAGGGUGCUCAAUCUCCAAGUGGGUUCCCUAGAAAGGGGAGAAGGGGCUGUCUCUAACACGAACUCAGUGGCUGUCUAUUUGAUUACUUCCCCCUGGGAGGAGCAGUCUUGCCAGGCCACAGAGGAAGACAAUGCAGCCAGUUCUAAUAAGACCUGAUAGGCUAGGGUCAAAGAGAAGGGGAGGAGAUAGAGGGAAAAAAGGAAGGGUGGAUGAGAAUGGGAGGAGAUGGGGGAGAGGGCUACAGCAUAAUACAUGAAUAAAUUGUAAUAACCAAAUAAAUAAAUUAAUUAAAAAUAAAAUAGAUAAAAACAUUAAAAGAGUAAAUUGUUAAAUAUACAAACCAUAAAGGUAAAUAUUAAGUUUUUGCUAAACUUAUGAAACUUUAUUUAUGUUUAGAAUUAAUUCCCAUGCACAGAGUUUACCAAUCUGAUUCCCAAGUAACAAUAGAAGGUUAAUAUCUGUAUUUAGACAGAUAAGAAUUCAGGUUUGAGCUACAUAUGUCAAAGAUCAUCAGUAGUUAUAAUUUGCCAGGGGAAUACAUGCUAUGGAAUACUUGUUGUGAAAAAUAAUUACACUGAGGUUGGACAAGAUUGGUAAUCUUUUGCUACAAAUAGCUAGCUAUUGAAAUGCAGUUGUUUUCAGGAAACUAUUAUGGACAAUGUAAAACAGCCAACUAAACUGAUGUGUUUAUUAACUCUUCUAUGAAAGGUUUUAAUGUCACUUCCAUCUUUUAGAAAACAUAUUUUCUUAGCAACAUGUACAUGAGAACUCCUGAAUGGGUUCUCAAUGUAAGAAAACAAUUGUGAAUAGGCAGUAUGGAUAUUUUACAGUAACAAUUUUACUUUUUCUUGUGACAUUUAAAAUAAUUUAGUUACAAAGAUUUACAUCGUAAAUAUUUUCCUAGUUACAAAUAACUUCUAUUUAGAAUAUUUUUUCUUAAUUCUUAAUUUAAAAAAUUUUCUUAAUUUAAAAACACUUGGAGGGGACAGGAGCUCCAAGAGGAGACCAACAGAGCCAAGAAAACUGAGCCCUGGGAGCCCUGCGGUGUCUGAUAGCCCAACCAAGGACAAUGCAUGGAGAAGACCUGAAAACCUUGCUCAGAUAUAGCCCAUAGACUCAGUAUCCAAAUAGGGUCCCUAGUAAGGGGUGCAGUGGUUUUCUCUGGUAUGAAUUCAGUGACAGGCGCUAUGAUCACCUCCCCUUCGGCAUGACGCCUUGCCAGGCCACAGAGGAAGACAACAGUUCUGAUGAGACCUGAUAGGCUAUGGUCAACUAGAAGGGGAGAUCCUCUGUAUCACUGAACUAGGGGAGGGACAUGGAGGAGAAGAGGAAAGGAGGCUGGGACUUGGAGGAGACAAGGGAGGGUGCUACAAAGUGAAUAAAUAAAUUGUAAUAGAUGAUAAUUCAAAAAAAAGUCACCUCAGGACUAGGGACAUUAACUUCUUAUUAGAGCAUACCUGUCUAUCAUGCUUGAGUCCCUAAAUUUAGUUUCCACUCCUGAAAGAAAAAGCAAAGAAAACAACUGAACUAUUACUGAGAGUGGUAAUUACCUCUUCAAAUAAUUAACAGUGGCACUAUUUUUCUAGUAAUUACGUAUUUACAAGAACACAUACCCCAGUGGCAGUAAUCCCAUUAGAGAUCCGCAGAAACUUUUGGAAAGAUACAUUUGGGAUCUCAGUGAUUAGACCCCCAAUGCCAUGAGAAUGUAGUAAAAGCCCAUCAUUUUUAUAGGAAAUUGUUCAUUUAGUCUACUGGAAAACAGUCCUUCCCUUGGUAAGUUAUUUCUGUGGGCGUUAGAUGGGCUUUCAUUAAAUAAAAAGUAGUUUUUGUGGAUCUGAGGUAGAUAAAAAAUGAUGAAUCAUGACAAAAAAAUUGUAGGAAAAUGUAGUUAAAAUUGCUUUUGUGUGCAAGGGUGAUUUGUUCUUACUUUAUCUGACAACUUUUGUUCAAUAAUCUGUAACAUCUUUGUUUAAAUACAUAUUUUAUUACAGCUAAGAAGUAACUCAUGCUGUCUGAUAAUUUGAAAUAUUUUUUUGUUAUAAUUGAACAUUGUUUUAUGUGUGCAAAGGUUUUUGUGGAUGUAAUUUGUAAUUAGAUUUCUGAAAAGCUGAUAUGUUUCCAUCUUCUGCUUCUUCUCUUUAAGUACCUUCUCUUGUUAGCAUCAUAACACGUUUUAUCCUAACUUCCCAAGACUGGACGCCAUGCUUUUCUGUGGAAUGAGAAAACCUUUCCCACACUUCAGCCUGUCUCAGUGUGACCUAAAUAUAAAGUCUUG
This is an RNA transcript of Meriones unguiculatus (Mongolian gerbil), 5552 nucleotides long. It is a transcript of the gene named olfactory receptor 10AG1-like, with no coding region annotated. The record is from RefSeq and is a predicted model, not a curated record. The transcript is spliced from 7 exons. Lineage: Eukaryota; Metazoa; Chordata; Mammalia; Rodentia; Muridae.